AUAAAAGGUAUUGCAGCUGCCUCCUCAUCCUCACACUUGGAUCGCUUGCACUAGGAGGAGCCAGCUACUGUGUCAUGAGGAACUCAAGUGGCCCUGUGGAAAGGCGUGUGUGAUGAGGAACUGAGGCCUCUUGCCAACAGCCAUUGCACUUGAUUUUGCAGAUGAGUCUGGAAGUGUUAGUUGCAAAGAUAUGCAUUUACUUCUCUGGCUACAAAAAAGAAUAGAAAUGCACAAAGCAGAGCAGUGUGAAGAAGAAGAGGCGAUGACCCCUAGACCGACCAAAGCCCGUGCUCCACUGCCCAGUGCCUAUGUCCCACCACUGUCGCUGCCACCCUGCCCGAGAGAAAGGCUGAAGGGGAUGCUAAAGGAGAUAAAACCAAGGUUAAGUAGGAACUGCAGAGAAGAUCCACAAGGUUGUCUGCUAAACCUGCUCCUCCAAAGCCACAGCCGAAGCCCAGAAAGGCCUCUGCAAAGAAGAGAGAGAAGGUACCUACAGAGAAGAAGGGAAAAGCUGAUGCUGGCAAGGAGGGGAAUAACCCUGCAGAAAAUGGAGAUGCCAAAACAGACUAGGC
Molecule: long non-coding RNA, 572 nt
Filed under: Homo sapiens (human)
Lineage: Eukaryota; Metazoa; Chordata; Mammalia; Primates; Hominidae
Description: SLC30A4 antisense RNA 1
Source: RNAcentral